RNAcentral lists this ribosomal RNA (237 nucleotides) under Triticum aestivum (bread wheat). Its description in RNAcentral is "partial small subunit ribosomal RNA". The record is from RNAcentral. Lineage: Eukaryota; Viridiplantae; Streptophyta; Magnoliopsida; Poales; Poaceae.
AAAAAAGCAAAUUUGAUUAAUGCUACUUCUAUUAGUUUGGAAACAUUGGAAAAGUCUAAAAACGAAACUCUUUAUUUUGAAAAACAAAGGGCAAUUAAUCAGGUCCGAUGGCAGGUUUUCCAACAGGCCGUACAAGGAGCUCUAGGAACUCUGAAUAUUUGUUUGAAUUCUGAAUUACAUUUCCGUGUGAUUCGUGCUAAUAUUGGCAUUCUUGGGUCCCUGGAAUGGAAGAGAUAA